This 71-nucleotide transfer RNA is filed under the name Camelus bactrianus (Bactrian camel). It matches the Rfam family "tRNA". Rfam says of the family: Transfer RNA (tRNA) molecules are approximately 80 nucleotides in length. Lineage: Eukaryota; Metazoa; Chordata; Mammalia; Artiodactyla; Camelidae. RNAcentral also lists the same sequence under 2 other names. The record is from Rfam by way of RNAcentral.
GAGGAAAUAGCUCAGUGGUAGAGUGCAUGCCUAGCAUGCAUGAGGUACUGGGUUCAAUCCCAAGUACCUCC